CCGUCGCGGACCACUAGGGGGCCACGGACCCCUGGUUGAAAACCCCUGCUUUAUGGUGUACCGCAUGCUACAGCACCAUAUGAUAAAACCAAUCAGUUAACUUGUCUAUCUUACACAUCACUAUUCUGGAAAAUGUGUACAGUAUGCCAGUACAUUUAUACAUGUGACAAUGUUAGACCAACUGAAAUGACACACUGAAGGCAUCAUACAGGCAUAACACUUCACCUGUGCCUUCUUCUGCAACAGGAUAUGGAGAACAACAUCAACACGGCUCUGGGCGGAGUGGACGUCAGUGAGGAGAUGAAGGAGGAGAUCUGGAGGAGGGUGAGGAAGGCCCUGGGCGCUGAGGAAGAGGAACCUGUCCCCAGCCAGGAACAUUCUGCAGUCGUGUGAUGGACCUGCUGUUACUGGGAGCAAACACUAAUAAAUAAAACACUCUCAUUUUGAAAUAA
Molecule: long non-coding RNA, 452 nt
Organism: Clupea harengus (Atlantic herring)
Lineage: Eukaryota; Metazoa; Chordata; Actinopteri; Clupeiformes; Clupeidae
Exons: 2
Source: RefSeq, a predicted model, not a curated record